This 2935-nucleotide ribosomal RNA is filed under the name Priestia megaterium. Its description in RNAcentral is "23S ribosomal RNA". It matches the Rfam family "Bacterial large subunit ribosomal RNA". Lineage: Bacteria; Bacillati; Bacillota; Bacilli; Caryophanales; Bacillaceae. The record is from RNAcentral.
GGUUAAGUUAGAAAGGGCGCACGGUGAAUGCCUUGGCACUAGGAGCCGAUGAAGGACGGACUAACACCGAUAUGCUUCGGGGAGCUGUAAGUGAGCUUUGAUCCGGAGAUUUCCGAAUGGGGAAACCCACUGUUCGUAAUGGAACAGUAUCUUUAUCUGAAUACAUAGGAUAUUGAAGGCAGACCCGGGGAACUGAAACAUCUAAGUACCCGGAGGAAGAGAAAGCAAAUGCGAUUUCCUGAGUAGCGGCGAGCGAAACGGAAUUAGCCCAAACCAAGAGGCUUGCCUCUUGGGGUUGUAGGACACUCUAUACGGAGUUACAAAGGAACGAAGUAAAUGAAGCGACCUGGAAAGGUCCGUCGAAGAAGGUAACAACCCUGUAGUUGAAACUUCGUUCCCUCUUGAGUGGAUCCUGAGUACGGCGGAACACGUGAAAUUCCGUCGGAAGCUGGGAGGACCAUCUCCCAAGGCUAAAUACUACCUAGUGACCGAUAGUGAACCAGUACCGUGAGGGAAAGGUGAAAAGCACCCCGGAAGGGGAGUGAAAGAGAUCCUGAAACCGUGUGCCUACAAGUAGUCAGAGCCCGUUAACGGGUGAUGGCGUGCCUUUUGUAGAAUGAACCGGCGAGUUACGAUCCCAUGCAAGGUUAAGCUGAUAAGGCGGAGCCGUAGCGAAAGCGAGUCUGAAUAGGGCGUUUAGUAUGUGGUUGUAGACCCGAAACCAGGUGAUCUACCCAUGUCCAGGGUGAAGUUCAGGUAACACUGAAUGGAGGCCCGAACCCACGCACGUUGAAAAGUGCGGGGAUGAGGUGUGGGUAGCGGAGAAAUUCCAAUCGAACCUGGAGAUAGCUGGUUCUCUCCGAAAUAGCUUUAGGGCUAGCCUCAUGUUGUGAGAGUCUUGGAGGUAGAGCACUGAUUGGACUAGGGGCCCCCAACGGGUUACCGAAUUCAGUCAAACUCCGAAUGCCAAAGACUUAUCCAUGGGAGUCAGACUGCGAGUGAUAAGAUCCGUAGUCAAAAGGGAAACAGCCCAGACCACCAGCUAAGGUCCCCAAGUAUACGUUAAGUGGAAAAGGAUGUGGAGUUGCUUAGACAACCAGGAUGUUGGCUUAGAAGCAGCCACCAUUUAAAGAGUGCGUAAUAGCUCACUGGUCGAGUGACUCUGCGCCGAAAAUGUACCGGGGCUAAACGUAUCACCGAAGCUGUGGAUUGACAUCUUAGAUGUCAGUGGUAGGAGAGCGUUCUAAGUGCAGCGAAGUCAGACCGUAAGGACUGGUGGAGCGCUUAGAAGUGAGAAUGCCGGUAUGAGUAGCGAAAGACAAGUGAGAAUCUUGUCCACCGAAUGCCUAAGGUUUCCUGAGGAAGGCUCGUCCGCUCAGGGUUAGUCGGGACCUAAGCCGAGGCUGAAAAGCGUAGGCGAUGGCCAACAGGUUGAUAUUCCUGUACCACCUCCCCGCCGUUUGAGUAAUGGGGGGACGCAGUAGGAUAGGGUAAGCGCGCUGCUGGAUAUGCGCGUUCAAGCAGUUAGGCUGAUGAGUAGGCAAAUCCGCUCAUCAUAAAGGCUGAGCUGUGAUGACGAGGGAAUUAUAGUACCGAAGUUCCUGAUUCCACACUGCCAAGAAAAGCCUCUAGCGAGGCGGGAGGUGCCCGUACCGCAAACCGACACAGGUAGGCGAGGAGAGAAUCCUAAGGUGAUCGAGAGAACUCUCGUUAAGGAACUCGGCAAAAUGACCCCGUAACUUCGGGAGAAGGGGUGCUCUGGUAGGGUGUAUAGCCCGAGAGAGCCGCAGUGAAUAGGCCCAGGCGACUGUUUAGCAAAAACACAGGUCUCUGCGAAGCCGCAAGGCGAAGUAUAGGGGCUGACGCCUGCCCGGUGCUGGAAGGUUAAGAGGAGGGGUUAUCCUUUGGGAGAAGCUCUGAAUCGAAGCCCCAGUAAACGGCGGCCGUAACUAUAACGGUCCUAAGGUAGCGAAAUUCCUUGUCGGGUAAGUUCCGACCCGCACGAAAGGCGUAACGAUCUGGGCACUGUCUCAACGAGAGACUCGGUGAAAUUAUAGUACCUGUGAAGAUGCAGGUUACCCGCGACAGGACGGAAAGACCCCGUGGAGCUUUACUGUAGCCUGAUAUUGAAUUUUGGUACAGCUUGUACAGGAUAGGUAGGAGCCUGAGAAGCCGGAGCGCUAGCUUCGGUGGAGGCGUCGGUGGGAUACUACCCUGGCUGUAUUGAAAUUCUAACCCGCGGCCCUGAUCGGGCCGGGAGACAGUGUCAGGUGGGCAGUUUGACUGGGGCGGUCGCCUCCUAAAAUGUAACGGAGGCGCCCAAAGGUUCCCUCAGAAUGGUUGGAAAUCAUUCGUAGAGUGUAAAGGCACAAGGGAGCUUGACUGCGAGACCUACAAGUCGAGCAGGGACGAAAGUCGGGCUUAGUGAUCCGGUGGUUCCGCAUGGAAGGGCCAUCGCUCAACGGAUAAAAGCUACCCCGGGGAUAACAGGCUUAUCUCCCCCAAGAGUCCACAUCGACGGGGAGGUUUGGCACCUCGAUGUCGGCUCAUCGCAUCCUGGGGCUGUAGUCGGUCCCAAGGGUUGGGCUGUUCGCCCAUUAAAGCGGUACGCGAGCUGGGUUCAGAACGUCGUGAGACAGUUCGGUCCCUAUCCGUCGUGGGCGUAGGAAAUUUGAGAGGAGCUGUCCUUAGUACGAGAGGACCGGGAUGGACACACCGCUGGUGUACCAGUUGUCUUGCCAAAGGCAUCGCUGGGUAGCUAUGUGUGGACGGGAUAAGUGCUGAAAGCAUCUAAGCAUGAAGCCCCCCUCAAGAUGAGAUUUCCCAUAGCGCAAGCUAGUAAGAUCCCUGAAAGAUGAUCAGGUUGAUAGGUCAGAGGUGGAAGCGUGGCGACAUGUGUAGCUGACUGAUACUAAUCGAUCGAGGACUUAACCAA